RNAcentral lists this ribosomal RNA (253 nucleotides) under uncultured bacterium. Its description in RNAcentral is "partial 16S ribosomal RNA". It matches the Rfam family "Bacterial small subunit ribosomal RNA", at positions 524 to 776 of the family's 1533-position model. The record is from RNAcentral.
UACGGAGGGGACUAGCGUUGUUCGGAAUUACUGGGCGUAAAGCGCACGUAGGCGGAUUGUUAAGUCAGGGGUGAAAUCCUGGAGCUCAACUCCAGAACUGCCUUUGAUACUGGCGAUCUCGAGUCCGGGAGAGGUGAGUGGAACUGCGAGUGUAGAGGUGAAAUUCGUAGAUAUUCGCAAGAACACCAGUGGCGAAGGCGGCUCACUGGCCCGGUACUGACGCUGAGGUGCGAAAGCGUGGGGAGCAAACAGG